GACGAACGCUGGCGGCGUGCUUAACACAUGCAAGUCGAACGGAAAGGCCCUGCUUUUCUGGGGUGCUCGAGUGGCGAACGGGUGAGUAACACGUGAGUAACCUGCCCCUGACUUUGGGAUAACUUCAGGAAACUGGGGCUAAUACCGGAUAGGAGCUCCUGCUGCAUGGUGGGGGUUGGAAAGUUUCGGCGGUUGGGGAUGGACUCGCGGCUUAUCAGCUUGUUGGUGGGGUAGUGGCUUACCAAGGCUUUGACGGGUAGCCGGCCUGAGAGGGUGACCGGCCACAUUGGGACUGAGAUACGGCCCAGACUCCUACGGGAGGCAGCAGUGGGGAAUAUUGCACAAUGGGCGGAAGCCUGAUGCAGCAACGCCGCGUGCGGGAUGACGGCCUUCGGGUUGUAAACCGCUUUCGCCUGUGACGAAGCGUGAGUGACGGUAAUGGGUAAAGAAGCACCGGCUAACUACGUG
RNAcentral lists this ribosomal RNA (468 nucleotides) under uncultured bacterium. Its description in RNAcentral is "partial 16S ribosomal RNA". It matches the Rfam family "Bacterial small subunit ribosomal RNA", at positions 28 to 507 of the family's 1533-position model. The record is from RNAcentral.